AUUGAACGCUGGCGGCAGGCCUAACACAUGCAAGUCGAGCGGAUGAAGGGAGCUUGCUCCUGGCUUCAGCGGCGGACGGGUGAGUAAUGCCUAGGAAUCUACCUGGUAGUGGGGGAUAACGUCAGGACACGGGCGCUAAUCCCGCAUCCGUCCUGAGGGAGAAAGUGGGGGAUCUUCGGACCUCACGCUAUCAGAUGAGCCUAGGUCGGAUUAGCUAGUUGGUGGGGUAAAGGCCUACCAAGGCGACGAUCCGUAACUGGUCUGAGAGGAUGAUCAGUCACACUGGAACUGAGACACGGUCCAGACUCCUACGGGAGGCAGCAGUGGGGAAUAUUGGACAAUGGGCGAAAGCCUGACCCAGCCACGCCGCGUGUGUGAAGAAGGUCUUCGGAUCGUAAAGCACUUUUAGUUGGGAGGAACGGCAGUAAGUUAAUACCUUGCUGUUUUGACGGUACCAACAGAAUAAGCACCGGCUAACUUCGUG
Molecule: ribosomal RNA, 484 nt
Filed under: uncultured bacterium
Lineage: Bacteria
Description: partial 16S ribosomal RNA
Rfam family: Bacterial small subunit ribosomal RNA
Source: RNAcentral